UACAGAGGGUGCGAGCGUUAAUCGGAAUUACUGGGCGUAAAGCGCACGUAGGUGGCGACGUAAGUCGGGUGUGAAAGCCCCGGGCUCAACCUGGGAAUUGCAUUCGAGACUGCAUUGCUGGAGUACGGAAGAGGAGGGCGGAAUUCCCGGUGUAGCGGUGGAAUGCGUAGAGAUCGGGAAGAACAUCAGUGGCGAAGGCGACCUCCUGGGUCGUACCUGACGCUGAGAUGCGAAAGCUAGGGGAGCAAACGGG
This 253-nucleotide ribosomal RNA is filed under the name uncultured bacterium. RNAcentral's name for it is "partial 16S ribosomal RNA". It matches the Rfam family "Bacterial small subunit ribosomal RNA", at positions 524 to 776 of the family's 1533-position model. The record is from RNAcentral.